This 332-nucleotide unclassified non-coding RNA is filed under the name soil metagenome. RNAcentral's name for it is "partial contains 5.8S ribosomal RNA, internal transcribed spacer 2, and large subunit ribosomal RNA". The stretch from base 1 to 120 matches the Rfam family "5.8S ribosomal RNA", at positions 35 to 154 of the family's 154-position model. The record is from RNAcentral.
GAUGAAGAACGUAGCGAAAUGCGAUAAGUAAUGUGAAUUGCAGAAUUCAGUGAAUCAUCGAAUCUUUGAACGCACAUUGCGCCCCUUGGUAUUCCGAGGGGCAUGCCUGUUCGAGCGUCAUUAUCACCCCUCAAGCUCAGCUUGGUGUUGGGGCCGGCCCGACACAGGGCCGCCCCUAAAAGCAGUGGCGGUGCCAUCUGGCUCUACGCGUAGUAAUACUCCUCGCGACAGAGUCCCGGUGGUGUCCUGCCAGAACCCCCCAUCUUUUUAAUGAUUGACCUCGGAUCAGGUAGGGAUACCCGCUGAACUUAAGCAUAUCAAUAAGCGGAGGA